AGAACGAACGCUGGCGGCGUGCUUAACACAUGCAAGUCCAACGUGAAAGGGGAGCAAUCCCCCGGUAAGGUGGCGAACGGGUGAGUAAGACAUGGGAAUCUGCCCUGGAGAUGGGGAUAUCCCUCCGAAAGGGGGGCUAAUACCGAAUACCGUCCGGGAAACGAGAGGAUUUCGGGGAAAGGGAGGCCUCUGGCAACAUGCUUCCGCUCCGGGAGGAGCCCAUGGCCCAUCAGCUAGUUGGGAGGGUAACGGCCUACCAAGGCGAAGACGGGUAGCUGGUCUGAGAGGACGAUCAGCCACACUGGCACUGAGACACGGGCCAGACUCCUACGGGAGGCAGC
This 341-nucleotide ribosomal RNA is filed under the name uncultured prokaryote. RNAcentral describes it as "bacterial SSU rRNA". It matches the Rfam family "Bacterial small subunit ribosomal RNA", at positions 26 to 352 of the family's 1533-position model. The record is from RNAcentral.